UAAAUACUAAUACCAGAUCGAUAGUGCACAAGUACCGUGAGGGAAAGGUGAAAAGAACUGAGGUGAUCAGAGUGAAAUAGAACCUGAAACCAUUUGCUUACAAUCAUUCAGAGCCCUAUGUAGCAAUACAGGGUGAUGGACUGCCUUUUGCAUAAUGAGCCUGCGAGUUGUGGUGUCUGGCAAGGUUAAGCAAACGCGAAGCCGUAGCGAAAGCGAGUCUGAAUAGGGCGCUUAGUCAGAUGCUGCAGACCCGAAACGAAGUGAUCUAUCCAUGAGCAAGUUGAAGCUAGUGUAAGAACUAGUGGAGGACUGAACCCAUAGGCGUUGAAAAGCCCCGGGAUGACUUGUGGAUAGGGGUGAAAGGCCAAUCAAACUUCGUGAUAGCUGGUUCUCUCCGAAAUAUAUUUAGGUAUAGCGUUGUGUCGUAAUAUAAGGGGGUAGAGCACUGAAUGGGCUAGGGCAUACACCAAUGUACCAAACCCUAUCAAACUCCGAAUACCUUAUAUGUAAUCACAGCAGUCAGGCGGCGAGUGAUAAAAUCCGUCGUCAAGAGGGAAACAACCCAGACUACCAGCUAAGGUCCCUAAAUCUUACUUAAGUGGAAAACGAUGUGAAGUUACUUAAACAACCAGGAGGUUGGCUUAGAAGCAGCCAUCCUUUAAAGAAAGCGUAAUAGCUCACUGGUCUAGUGAUUUUGCGCGGAAAAUAUAACGGGGCUAAAGUAAGUACCGAAGCUGUAGACUUAGUUUACUAAGUGGUAGGAGAGCGUUCUAUUUGCGUCGAAGGUAUACCGGUAAGGAGUGCUGGAGCGAAUAGAAGUGAGCAUGCAGGCAUGAGUAGCGAUAAUUAAUGUGAGAAUCAUUAACGCCGUAAACCCAAGGUUUCCUACGCGAUGCUCGUCAUCGUAGGGUUAGUCGGGUCCUAAGUCGAGUCCGAAAGGGGUAGACGAUGGCAAAUUGGUUAAUAUUCCAAUACCAACAUUAGUGUGCGAUGGAAGGACGCUUAGGGCUAAGGGGGCUAGCGGAUGGAAGUGCUAGU
RNAcentral lists this ribosomal RNA (1038 nucleotides) under Campylobacter jejuni. Its description in RNAcentral is "partial 23S ribosomal RNA". It matches the Rfam family "Bacterial large subunit ribosomal RNA", at positions 467 to 1511 of the family's 2925-position model. Lineage: Bacteria; Pseudomonadati; Campylobacterota; Epsilonproteobacteria; Campylobacterales; Campylobacteraceae. The record is from RNAcentral.